Molecule: long non-coding RNA, 661 nt
Filed under: Brassica napus (rape)
Lineage: Eukaryota; Viridiplantae; Streptophyta; Magnoliopsida; Brassicales; Brassicaceae
Description: long non-coding RNA (BNAP_LNC013118)
Source: RNAcentral
UUGACCAUAUUUGAAUACAUUGGACUGGUUUUGGCCAUUUUCCAGUUCAAUGGUUUAAACUAUAAAUAAAAUAUUGAAAGAUUUUCAAAAAGAGUCUAGGAAUGAUUGGCUUCAAAUCUAUCUUCAGUUAUCUAUACUAUUAAAAUUGAAUUCCUACUAGGAUUCUGUCCGUACUUUUGAAGUUAUUUACAAUGGCAUACCAUUGUUUUUUUUUAUUAACAUUAAUUUUAUUGAUUAAAUUCGGCCAGCAUAAUAAACCAAUCAGAAUGAAGAAUAUAAUAGCCAAUAACAAUGAAUGCAACAGCAUUUAUCAGCGUUACUUAUGCCAAAAAUAAAACCGAACUCCAUAAUACAAUUAUUAACGUUUGUGUUGAAAGCAUAUACUCGUAACUAUACAAACCAUAGAAGCAUAAUUCUAAUAUAUACAAUUAUUAUUUAACCUUAUUAAUUGUUGUAACACUUAUUGUUUGACUUAGUGCUUAUGAUAUGUUUAACAUGUUUGAGAGCAAAGCACUAUGAAUUUUUUUUACAAAGAUCAUGAAAUAUAAAGUAGUCCAAAUGAAUUUAUAAUGUGAAUAACGAAAUAAAGAAUAGCAUUCAUCAUUUUAAGAUAUUUUCAUUUUUUGUUUGUUAAUUCAAGAAUUUAAAUUUUGGGUAACAA